Molecule: ribosomal RNA, 253 nt
Filed under: uncultured bacterium
Lineage: Bacteria
Description: partial 16S ribosomal RNA
Rfam family: Bacterial small subunit ribosomal RNA
Source: RNAcentral
UACGUAGGGUGCGAGCGUUAAUCGGAAUUACUGGGCGUAAAGCGUGCGCAGGCGGCUGUGCAAGACAGGUGUGAAAUCCCCGGGCUCAACCUGGGAACUGCACUUGUGACUGCAUGGCUGGAGUACGGCAGAGGGGGAUGGAAUUCCGCGUGUAGCAGUGAAAUGCGUAGAUAUGCGGAGGAACACCGAUGGCGAAGGCAAUCCCCUGGGCCUGUACUGACGCUCAUGCACGAAAGCGUGGGGAGCAAACAGG